RNAcentral lists this long non-coding RNA (478 nucleotides) under Monodelphis domestica (gray short-tailed opossum). RNAcentral describes it as "lncRNA (ENSMODG00000042697.1)". Lineage: Eukaryota; Metazoa; Chordata; Mammalia; Didelphimorphia; Didelphidae. The record is from RNAcentral.
AGUCAACAUUGUUGCUAAGUGCAGGAUCAGAGGAUAGAAUCAACAUGAUAUAGGUUAGGGAGCACAGAUUUGCCAGAAGUUUUUAUGCCUAGAAAAGAGGGUCUUAUCUAAGUGGGUAUAUAAGAAUCCUUAGGUUUAAUAUUGUAAGUGAGCUCUCCUGGUAAUAUCCUAGGGGGACAGAGUGGGACAUCUGUAUUAACCCUACAAGCAUGUUGCUCUCAUCUAUUUUUCCUGGGGCUAAGAUGUCCUUUACUUCUGUGUGGGGAAAGAGAAAGAUGUUUUCUCAAAUGGUUUCCAGCAGUUAAAUUAUUCCCCCCCUUUUGAUGUCUGCUAAUAGCUUUACUGGAGAACUAUACAAGUGUUGGACUUGGAGGUGUUUUCAAAUCCUGACUGCCACAUGAUAGCUAUGUAACCUUAACCAAAUAAUUCAACUUUUUCCAACUUUCAGUUACUGAAUCUAUAAAAUGAAAGAGGUGGG